GGGUGAAGAUAAGACGGAUUAGCGGCGGACGGGUGAGUAACACGUGAGUAACCUGCCUUUUACACAGGGAUAGCCUCGGGAAACCGGGAUUAAAACCUGAUGAAACUAUCAAAUCACAUGAUUAAGAAAGUUAAAACUCCGGUGGUAAAAGAUGGACUCGCGUCCCAUUAGCUAGUUGGUGAAGGUAACGGCCCACCAAGGCAACGAUGGGUAGCCGGCCUGAGAGGGUGAACGGCCACAUUGGAACUGAGAAACGGUCCAAACUCCUACGGGAGGCAGCAGAC
This 284-nucleotide ribosomal RNA is filed under the name uncultured Peptoniphilus sp. RNAcentral's name for it is "partial 16S ribosomal RNA". It matches the Rfam family "Bacterial small subunit ribosomal RNA", at positions 82 to 354 of the family's 1533-position model. Lineage: Bacteria; Bacillati; Bacillota; Tissierellia; Tissierellales; Peptoniphilaceae. The record is from RNAcentral.